Long non-coding RNA from Armigeres subalbatus, 1567 nucleotides. RefSeq lists it as uncharacterized. The transcript has 2 exons. The record is from RefSeq and is a predicted model, not a curated record. Lineage: Eukaryota; Metazoa; Arthropoda; Insecta; Diptera; Culicidae.
CAGUAGGGUUAUUAAUAGUAGUGAACAGGUAGCUUGGCGCGAACCGUGGCGCAUCACGCCACGUAAGGCACCGAUAGGAGAUAGGAAUAAUAUUUCACUGCAUCAGCAGUAUAAUUCUAUAAAACGGUAGAGCACACGAGGCUCUACCUCUUUCUUGUAAUAACAGCGAGUGUGGUAAUAAAUGUGUAGUUAAUUAAAUUUGCUUUUUAAAAAGUGAACUCAAACGAAAAAUCCCGUAACUGGUGUCAGAAGUGGGAUUCUGACAGUGAGUGUAAUAUAAAGUGACAAAAGUGAUAGUGCUUCGUUGGUCACGUUUAGCAAAAGCUAAAGACCUCUACCCUUUUGACAUCGCAGCGACAUCGGCUUGGAGGAAGCCGCAUCACGCUUAGCAGCCGUCAGGGAACCGGAUCGUCAGGCGCCGCAACGACACCCCGAAGACGACAACUGUUUGUCCGCUCACUGCAACGACGGAUGAAAUUACAUCUACUAUCUCAUUUCAGGUACCGACCAGAUGGAAUUCAUACGGAAAUGCCACAACUUCAAUCAUAGAAAUUACAAGUUAACAUACGAGGAAAUCAGGAAAUCUGCCUUUUUCCCGGAAUGUUAGGCAAAAUCAAAACAUUUAUCAAAAAUUGUGAGGACUGCAAGUUCGCUAAAUACGAACGCAAACCAUUUAAAAUUCCAAUUUCCAGGAGAAUCUACGAAAACCCUUUUGAAAACGUGUUUAUUGAUGUCUAUGUUAAAGAUCAUUACAAAUUCCUUACUCUCGUAGACUCGUUCUCGAAAUUUGCCCAAAUUUUCCAAAUUUCAAACGAAACAACUGAAGAGCUAACAAGCACUCUAGUCGAAUAUUUCAAAAUCUUUGGAAUACCUAAAAUGAUUACUUGCGAUCAAGCACCGGGAUUUAGAAAUCCUCGAUUUAGAGAGUUCUUGGAGAAACAUGGUAUUGCAUUGCACUUUGCCAGCAAUAGCAAUAGCAAUGGUAUUGUGGAAAGAUUCCACAGUACUUUGCUCGAGAUGUAUUUGGCGAAUAAACGGAAAGUUGAAGACCUUACAUUAUACGAAGGCUUAGCCCUGACCACUUCAUUGUACAAUGACUCGAUCCACAGUAGCACCAAACUUAAGCCUCGAGAUAUUAUUUUCAGCACAUGCGCUUCAUUGAAGCAAUCCGAGAUAAAUACCUCGAAGCUUAGAAACAUCCAAACUGCAAAGGACAACAUCAAAUACUUAGCACAAAAACACAACAAUAAGUUACCCCUUAUCGACUUUGAGAAAUACAAAACAUUGACUAGUCCAAUUUUGGUAAAAGGAAAAGCGAAGCCGAGCCCUUAUGGCCACCGAUAUAGGGAAAUAGAAAUCAUGGAUCAAACCGACAAAACCGUAACAGACUCUCAAAACAUUAAGACACACAAGAAGAACGUUAAACAUACAUAAUUAUUAUUCUUACAGACUAUGUCUUCUGGCCACGACGAUCGACGCGGACAUCCACAUACACGACAUAGAGAAAAAUCCAGUUAUCAUCAUCCCCAUAGGCCCAGCAAGAAUCAGUAAUAGCUAUUUGAGAAUA